UACGUAGGGUGCAAGCGUUGUCCGGAAUUAUUGGGCGUAAAGAGCUUGUAGGCGGUUUGUCGCGUCUGCUGUGAAAUUUCGGGGCUCAACCCCGAACUUGCAGUGGAUACGGACAGACUAGAGGUAGGUAGGGGAGAAUGGAAUUCCCGGUGUAGCGGUGAAAUGCGCAGAUAUCGGGAGGAACACCGGUGGCGAAGGCGGUUCUCUGGGCCUUACCUGACGCUGAGGAGCGAAAGCGUGGGGAGCGAACAGG
Molecule: ribosomal RNA, 253 nt
Filed under: uncultured bacterium
Lineage: Bacteria
Description: partial 16S ribosomal RNA
Rfam family: Bacterial small subunit ribosomal RNA
Source: RNAcentral